This 200-nucleotide ribosomal RNA is filed under the name uncultured bacterium. RNAcentral describes it as "partial 16S ribosomal RNA". It matches the Rfam family "Bacterial small subunit ribosomal RNA", at positions 1301 to 1500 of the family's 1533-position model. The record is from RNAcentral.
UAGUCUGCAACUCGACUACAUGAAGCUGGAAUCGCUAGUAAUCGCGAAUCAGCAUGUCGCGGUGAAUACGUUCCCGGGUCUUGUACACACCGCCCGUCACACCAUGGAGUUGGAAACGCCCGAAGUCAGUGACCCAACCGUCAAAGAGGGAGCUGCCGAAGGCGGGGCCGAUAACUGGGGUGAAGUCGUAACAAGGUACC